GAAAUAGUUCAGGGGUAGAAUGCUUGCCUCCCAUGCAUGAAUCCUAGGGAUUCAAUUCCUACGACUGCA
RNAcentral lists this transfer RNA (69 nucleotides) under Mus musculus (house mouse). RNAcentral's name for it is "tRNA-Gly". The record is from RNAcentral. Lineage: Eukaryota; Metazoa; Chordata; Mammalia; Rodentia; Muridae.